RNAcentral lists this small RNA (902 nucleotides) under Pongo abelii (Sumatran orangutan). RNAcentral's name for it is "retained intron". The record is from RNAcentral. Lineage: Eukaryota; Metazoa; Chordata; Mammalia; Primates; Hominidae.
UACUGUUUCCAAACUGGACACUGGAGAAUAUUCCUGUGAAGCUCGCAAUUCUGUUGGAUAUCGCAGGUGUCCUGGGAAACGAAUGCAAGUAGAUGAUCUCAACAUAAGUGGCAUCAUAGCAGCCGUAGUAGUUGUGGCCUUAGUGAUUUCCGUUUGUGGCCUUGGUGUAUGCUAUGCUCAGAGGAAAGGCUACUUUUCAAAAGAAACCUCCUUCCAGUAAGUAUACUUUCCUACAAUGCAUGUCUUUCUCCUAUGUCAACUAAUUUUCUAUUAAUCAUCUGUUUAACGUCAAAAGAGAGAAGUUGGGUUAUUUGUGUAGGUUUACUCUCCCAAGAAGUUACUCAAGUUUAUCAAGAAAUACAUCUGUAUUAGGCUGCUCUUGCAUUGCUAUAAGAAAAUACCCAAGACUGGGUAGUUUAUUUUAAAAAGAGGUUUAAUUGGCUCACGGUUCUGCAAGCUGUACAAUCCUGGCACCAACACUGCUUGGCUUUUGGGGAGGCCUCAGGAAGCUUUUACUCAUGGCUGAAGGCAAAGCGGGAGCAGGCACCUCACAUGGCAACAGCCGGAGCAAGGUUGGGGAGGUGCCACAUACUUUUAAACAACCAGACCUCAAGAAAACUCAGUCACUAUUCUGAGGACAGCAUCAAGGGGGCGGUACUAAACCAUUCAUGAGAAAUCCGCCCCCAUGAUCUAAUCAGCUCCGACAAGCCCCACCUCCAACACUGGGGAUUACAAUUCAACAUAAGAUUUGGGCGAGGCAAAUAUCCAGACUCUAUCAACAUCCCACUUCACACUUCAUACCUACUUGUAAAUGAUAGUACAGAGAGAAUGAUGAUUACCCAGACAAGAAAUAUGGUCACUAAUUUGAUUUCAUAGGCAUUUGUAUAAACUAACUUAAAAAA